This 1055-nucleotide long non-coding RNA is filed under the name Homo sapiens (human). Its description in RNAcentral is "HSALNT0331662". The record is from RNAcentral. Lineage: Eukaryota; Metazoa; Chordata; Mammalia; Primates; Hominidae.
CCAGGGGGCGGUGUGCGCCCCCGGCGCUGGAGCAGCCGCGUUUCGGGGACCCGGGCAGGCGUGGGGGGCUGCGCUGAGCUCCAGGCCUCCUGCAGGUGCAAUAAGAAUCGUAUUACUAAUGUGGUGUCCUCUGGAAUGGUCACAUGAACACAGUUCCCUGCAGAUGUAAUUGGGAGAGAAGGCACAGUCCUGACACAGGGUAAGACUGUGGAGGUGUAUUGCUGUCCCUACCAGGUUUCUCCUUCUCGUCUUCCAAAGCUGUGCCUUAACUUCCUCGAAAGACAACAUCAGUGCUGGCGGGCCUCAAGAAGAGCCAUCCCAAGGUAUUGACUAGGCAUCAGCGUCUUCACCAGGGCAACACAGAACAUCCCUGCAGAGUUCCUGGUGGCUGCAGUGGCUGGUAGGGGAUGUAUGCCUGCUUUCCAUCAGAUUCCCAAAGCGGAGCCCCUGGAGGCUUUGGCCCAUGGCCCUGAAGCUCCCUUUCACAAGGAAGAAAGACUUUGCAAAGCCAACACCACUAUUGGAGAGAAAGUGGAGAAUGUGUAUUAGAAGUACUAGUCUUUGAAGGCAAAACAGCUGUAUAGAGUGAGCUUAAGUGCUGGAUCCCUGUGGUUAGGAAGGGACACUAAGCCUCCGGGAUGUGAGAGUCCCAUGGAAGGCAGUAGGCCCAGGAUAAAGCAGGUGUCAGCUCAGAAAGCCCACCAUCACCCAGAAAAGGGAAGAAAUACGCUACCACCAUCACUCUUUCUGCCAAUGACUUCUUUGCACACCUCCACCCUAUCUCCUGGCUCAGUCUCCCAUGUUCUCAUAGCUAGGGAGGUCUCCAUUGUAAUUUGUAUGGGGAGGUUAACCUAUAGGCCAUUCUGAUGAUCCCAGCUCCCUUUCACUACAACCCCCGUCUGCAUCCUUUGCUUUGCAGUAGGAUUUGAGAGAGGAAGGAUGAAGAUGUAGCCACAGGAUACAUUUAAACAGGCACAGAGUUUGAGGGGUGGGGGGGAACAAAAGCAAAACAAUAAAACCUUCACCAGUCAUUAAAGAAAUGAAAAUGAACCUUU